This 495-nucleotide ribosomal RNA is filed under the name uncultured bacterium. RNAcentral describes it as "partial 16S ribosomal RNA". It matches the Rfam family "Bacterial small subunit ribosomal RNA", at positions 28 to 507 of the family's 1533-position model. The record is from RNAcentral.
GACGAACGCUGGCGGCGUGCCUAAUACAUGCAAGUAGAACGCUGAAGGAGGAGCUUGCUUCUCUGGAUGAGUUGCGAACGGGUGAGUAACGCGUAGGUAACCUGCCUGGUAGCGGGGGAUAACUAUUGGAAACGAUAGCUAAUACCGCAUAACAGUAGAUAUCGCAUGAUAUCUACUUGAAAGGUGCAAUUGCAUCCCUACCAGAUGGACCUGCGUUGUAUUAGCUAGUUGGUGGGGUAACGGCUCACCAAGGCGACGAUACAUAGCCGACCUGAGAGGGUGGUCGGCCACACUGGGACUGAGACACGGCCCAGACUCCUACGGGAGGCAGCAGUAGGGAAUCUUCGGCAAUGGACGGAAGUCUGACCGAGCAACGCCGCGGGAGUGAAGAAGGUUUUCGGAUCGUAAAGCUCUGUUGUAAGAGAAGAACGAGUGUGAGAGUGGAAAGUUCACACUGUGACGGUAUCUGACCAGAAAGGGACGGCUAACUACGUG